Molecule: small nuclear RNA, 104 nt
Organism: Mirounga angustirostris (Northern elephant seal)
Lineage: Eukaryota; Metazoa; Chordata; Mammalia; Carnivora; Phocidae
Source: RefSeq, a predicted model, not a curated record
GUGCUCGCUUUGGCAGCACGUAUACUAAAAUUGGAAUGGUACAGAGAUUAUCAUGGCCCCUGUGCAAGAAUGACAAGCAAAUUCAUGAAGGAUUCCAUGUUAAA